This 1354-nucleotide ribosomal RNA is filed under the name uncultured bacterium. RNAcentral's name for it is "bacterial SSU rRNA". It matches the Rfam family "Bacterial small subunit ribosomal RNA", at positions 28 to 1381 of the family's 1533-position model. The record is from RNAcentral.
AUUGAACGCUGGCGGCGGGCUUAACACAUGCAAGUCGAACGAUGAAGUCUAACUUGCUAUACUGAUUAGAGGCGAACGGGUGAGUAAUGCUUAUGAAUCUGCCUAUUAGUGGGGGAUAACGUAUGGAAACUUACACUAAUACCGCAUACGUCUUACAAAAGAAAGGGGGCUUUUACCUCUCGCUAAUAGAUGAGCCUAACUCGGAUUAGCUAGUUGGUGGGGUAAAGGCCUACCAAGGCGACGAUCUGUAGCUGGACUGACAUGAUGAUCAGCCACACUGGGACUGAGACACGGCCCAGACUCCUACGGGAGGCACCACUGGGGAAUAUUGGACAAUGGGCGAAAGCCUGAUCCAGCCAUGCCGCAUGUGUGAAGAAGGCCUUUUGGUUGUAAGGCACUUUAUGUGGGGAGGAAAAGCUUGUGGUUAAUACCCACAAACCCUGACGUUACCCACAUGAAUAAGCACCGGCUAACUCUGUGCCAGCAUCCGCGGUAAUACACAGGGUGCGAGCGUUAAUCGCAAUUACUGGGCGUAAAAGCUAGCGUAGGUGGUCAUUUAAGUCAGAUGUGAAAGCCCCGGGCUUAACCUGGGAACUGCAUCUGAUACUGGGUGACUAGAGUAGGUGAGAGGGAAGUAAAAUUCCUGGUGUAGCGGUGAAAUGCGUAAAGAUCUGGAGGAAUACCGAUGGCGAAGGCAGCUUCCUGGCAUCAUACUGACACUGAGGUUCGAAAGCGUGGGUAGCAAACAGGAUUAGAUACCCUGGUAGUCCACGCCGUAAACGAUGUCUACCAGUCGUUGGGUCUCUUGAAGACUUAGUGACGCAGUUAACGCAAUAAGUACACCGCCUGGGGAGUACGGCCGCAAGGUUAAAACUCAAAUGAAUUGACGGGGGCCCGCACAAGCGGUGGAGCAUGUGGUUUAAUUCGAUGCAACGCGAAGAACCUCACCUGGUCUUGACAUAGUAGGAAUCUUGCAGAGAUGCGAGAGUGCCUUCGGGAAUCUACAUACAGGUGCUGCAUGGCUGUCGUCAGCUCGUGUCGUGAGAUGUUGGGUUAAGUCCCGCAACGAGCGCAACCCUUUUCCUUAGUUACCAUCACUUCGGGUGGGCACUCUAAGGAUACUGCCAGUGACAAACUGGAGGAAGGCGGGGACGACGUCAAGUCAUCAUGGCCCUUACGACCAGGGCUACACACGUGCUACAAUGGUUGGUACAAAGGGUUGCUACCCAGCGAUGUGAUGCUAAUCUCAAAAAGCCAAUCUUAGUCCGGAUUGGAGUCUGCAACUCGCCUCCAUGAAGUCGGAAUCGCUAGUAAUCGCAGAUCAGAAUGCUGCGGUGAAUACGUUCCCGGGCCU